Molecule: long non-coding RNA, 502 nt
Organism: Ornithodoros turicata
Lineage: Eukaryota; Metazoa; Arthropoda; Arachnida; Ixodida; Argasidae
Exons: 2
Source: RefSeq, a predicted model, not a curated record
GACCGAAAGAUAACGGCGAUUACCGAGGGAGAUACGAUGAUGUCGCCGCAAUGACUGCCGCGCGGCUCGACUGCGCAGCAAGUUCAGCUGAUGAGUUGUGACGCGCGUGGCGCAAACGCCUGUUCGGCUCGUGCGGAUUUCCAUCGGACGUACGUACCGCUUGUAACAUGCUUGUGACAUAUUUGUCUGAAAUGGACAGCCCGCGAUAUGUCCUGUCUGAAAUGUCAAGGUGUUGCAAGGUUGUUUCUGGCUCCUUCAGGGACGUCCACGCCAAUACAGGUUGCUGUACUUCGAAUGAAGAUUUCAGACAAGUCGCUAAUCAGCGCCAUGCCCUAGAGCACUGCUCACCUUUUUCGACGCUGGACUUGGGUCCUCAGUCCUCACCAUGAAGCUUAUCAUUACGCCUUCCCCAAAUUACAGCGACCAAUGGAGUACAGUACAACAACAAGAAGCGAUGAUACACUUCUACCCAAUACUAUUAUUAAAAUAGAGUUGUCGUUCA